RNAcentral lists this ribosomal RNA (253 nucleotides) under uncultured bacterium. RNAcentral describes it as "partial 16S ribosomal RNA". It matches the Rfam family "Bacterial small subunit ribosomal RNA", at positions 524 to 776 of the family's 1533-position model. The record is from RNAcentral.
UACGUAGGUGGCAAGCGUUGUCCGGAAUUACUGGGCGUAAAGCGUGCGUAGACGGUUAUGUAAGUCGGGUGUGAAAGCCCCGGGCUCAACCUGGGAAUUGCAUUCGAGACUGUGUAGCUAGGGUACGGAAGAGGGAAGCGGAAUUUCAGGUGUAGCGGUGAAAUGCGUAGAUAUCUGAAGGAACACCAGUGGCGAAAGCGGCUUCCUGGUCCAGUACCGACGUUCAGGCACGAAAGCGUGGGGAGCAAACAGG